UCUGCGCAGUCAAUCCACCUGCAAGCGGUUACCGGGCAGACUGCGUGGUCAAUGGAGCCAAUAACCUUUUGGGAGCGUACCAGCAGGUUUACAGAGAUGGGUCUGUUGUUUGCAGAGCAGGCCACAGUAAUGUACCACAGGGCACGCCGUACUGCACGACUAUUAUAGGACUAGUACACUGGUGGCAUAAGAUUGACAAAUGUGUUCCAACAUUCCAUUGGUUACGAGAAUCCGUGUACGCCAUUGACAGGACAGGACAUGUAUCCGUAGCGACCAUCAGAUCUGAUUGUCAGAAGCGAAAUGGAACACUGCCAUACUCAACCCUGGACCUACCGUUGAACGGGAGUGACUUGGCGUGGGGACCAAAUUGGGCAGUAUUUGGGGACAUCUCUAUCUUCUAUGUAGAUUAUGGAGUAAUCAGUUCGCGAU
Molecule: long non-coding RNA, 429 nt
Organism: Sycon ciliatum
Lineage: Eukaryota; Metazoa; Porifera; Calcarea; Leucosolenida; Sycettidae
Exons: 3
Source: RefSeq, a predicted model, not a curated record